CGGUACAGAGGUGCUUGCACCUCUUGAGAGCGGCGGACGGGUGAGUAAAGCCUAGGAAUCUGCCUGGUAGUGGGGGAUAACGCUCGGAAACGGACGCUAAUACCGCAUACGUCCUACGGGAGAAAGCAGGGGACCUUCGGGCCUUGCGCUAUCAGAUGAGCCUAGGUCGGAUUAGCUAGUUGGUGAGGUAAUGGCUCACCAAGGCGACGAUCCGUAACUGGUCUGAGAGGAUGAUCAGUCACACUGGAACUGAGACACGGUCCAGACUCCUACGGGAGGCAGCAGUGGGGAAUAUUGGACAAUGGGCGAAAGCCUGAUCCAGCCAUGCCGCGUGUGUGAAGAAGGUCUUCGGAUUGUAAAGCACUUUAAGUUGGGAGGAAGGGCAUUAACCUAAUACGUUAGUGUUUUGACGUUACCGACAGAAUAAGCACCGGCUAACUCUGUGCCAGCAGCCGCGGUAAUACAGAGGGUGCAAGCGUUAAUCGGAAUUACUGGGCGUAAAGCGCGCGUAGGUGGUUCGUUAAGUUGGAUGUGAAAUCCCCGGGCUCAACCUGGGAACUGCAUUCAAAACUGUCGAGCUAGAGUAUGGUAGAGGGUGGGUGGAAUUUCCUGUGUAGCGGUGAAAUGCGUAGAUAUAGGAAGGAACACCAGUGGCCAAAGCCGACC
This 666-nucleotide ribosomal RNA is filed under the name Pseudomonas brassicacearum. RNAcentral describes it as "bacterial SSU rRNA". It matches the Rfam family "Bacterial small subunit ribosomal RNA", at positions 67 to 727 of the family's 1533-position model. The record is from RNAcentral. Lineage: Bacteria; Pseudomonadati; Pseudomonadota; Gammaproteobacteria; Pseudomonadales; Pseudomonadaceae.